RNAcentral lists this unclassified non-coding RNA (313 nucleotides) under Hevea brasiliensis (rubber tree). The record is from RNAcentral. Lineage: Eukaryota; Viridiplantae; Streptophyta; Magnoliopsida; Malpighiales; Euphorbiaceae.
GGACAUUAAACUCACGAUCAAUUCGUAUCAUGUCGCCUCUGAUGUCGACUCUGCUGCUGGAUUAAACUGACUAGAAAGGGUGACGGUGGAGGUUAUGCUAUUCGGGGAAUAGGAAUACUCUCUGUAGCAGGUAAUGUCACCGAGCGCAGUAGCUCCAACGAGAAAACGAGCCCCAGGAAAUGAGAGAGAAUAGUAUUUGCAGAAGCCUGUACUAAGAAUACAUCCAAAGCAAGAACAGGGCUAUUCCCAGGGGAGGCUGCCUGGUAAUAUGGAACUGCUGAAGAAGUAAGAGCCUUGGCAACUAACAAUCCCA